Molecule: non-coding RNA, 123 nt
Filed under: Mobiluncus curtisii
Lineage: Bacteria; Bacillati; Actinomycetota; Actinomycetes; Actinomycetales; Actinomycetaceae
Also listed under: 1 other name
Description: FMN sequence
Rfam family: FMN riboswitch aptamer (RFN element)
About the family: The RFN element is a highly conserved domain that is found frequently in the 5'-untranslated regions of prokaryotic mRNAs that encode for flavin mononucleotide (FMN) biosynthesis and transport proteins.
Source: RNAcentral
AGAUAGCUCUGGGGGCUGUGUGAUUCAGCACCGGCGGUUAAAGUCCGCGACCUCGUGCUUGCACGAGUUGAAUCGGUGAAAUUCCGAUACCGACGGUUAUAGUCCGGAUGGGAAGAGCCGUGC